RNAcentral lists this long non-coding RNA (2294 nucleotides) under Anas zonorhyncha (Eastern spot-billed duck). RNAcentral's name for it is "lncRNA (ENSAZOG00000011775.1)". The record is from RNAcentral. Lineage: Eukaryota; Metazoa; Chordata; Aves; Anseriformes; Anatidae.
CAAGCCCUUUUUAUUUUCUUUUUGUAUCGUUUCAGGGACCUAGCAGUCACUCCUGCACCAGGCAGCUCCCGUCAACAACUACUGGAGCCAGCAACACAUCCUUCUCAGGUCUCCGAUGGAAGGAGUGUCACCCAAGAUCACAAUUUCCUCUUGAAUAACCCAGAGAGCCGCUGCAGAGGAUCUGGUCCUGCCAGAAGGCUAUUCCUAAACUCCGCCGGUGCACCUGCUGCUGAAGGCCUGCCUGUUCUCACCCCUGCUCCCCACACUCGUCUCACUGAAGAUGUCCAAGCUGAGCACCAGGAUCCACGGGGAGCUGAAAACGGAGCGGACAGACUGCAAGAGAAUGAACUCCACCGUGACAGUCUUCCGAGGAAGCACAGCAAACCCAAGGCUGGUUCUUCUCACGUGCUUCAGCUCAGCAACUGGCCCGGCUCCCACUCCAGACCUGUCCUACCUCCAAUCCCACCCCGGAGGAAGAGCACCAACCCUUGACGGCCACUGCUAGCCAAGUCUUCGUCUCGGUCACACCCAAUCUUUCUGCCUAAUGGGGAUACUGAUUUUGAUAGAUUUUGCUUUUUUCAAAAGAAAUUAUAUCAAAGAUUAUUUCUAAAUCCCUUUCUGAUUAAACCGCCGAAAAGUUAUUUAUUUAUAACUUUAUUAAAAAGUAAUUUCUGCAUUUCCCAACACUAAAAAUGAUUUCCCCAGGCAUUCUCAGCUGGGAAAUGGUGUAGAUUUUUUUUCCUCACAGCCACAAGUCCACAUCUUCUAUUAAUUUCUUUCUUUCCUCCCCCUCCUAUUUUAUAGAUUUAAUUGCUGUGUGGAAGCAUCGGGGCUUCUGAUAAUAUCCCUGAUAUUGUAGGACUAGUGAAUUCUUUUGAAGAGGGAUUUUGUGAAAUGUUCAGUGUUGUUGGGAGUGAAAACUAGUUGCAAGUCUAUUUUUAAUAAAAUGUGUUUUUUUUUGAAGAGUUGAGACAAUUUUUUCAUUUGCAUGUGUUUUUAAACAAACAAGCUAGUACGGAGUCACCAGAAAAAAAAAUUACAAUUUCAGAGAACUGGCUGAAGCUGUAAGCACCAUGUGAAGAUUUGUUUGUUUUUUUCUAUAUGUGGAACAGAGCUCUGACAAGUAAAUAAAACUCUCAAGUCGAUGUUUGUCCUGAUUAAUUUUCAUUACCAUCCAUUUAGGGAACAGAUCGUGGGGCCCUUUGCCUGAGCAGCCUCCCCCGAGGAAGGCUGUUUGCUAUUUUUGUUACAGCGAGGGUCCCGAGAGGUCUUUGCGUGCACAGGAGACGACGUGACUCGUUCCCAGAGCACGGGGCUGUGUCCGUGGGAUGGCUCUGGUUUACCUCGUUGUGCCUGUUCACAAGGUGUUCGAGGGUUUUCGUUGUUUAAAUGGGAUGAGCUGAACAAAGCCACGCAGCUCCUGGUAAGGGAUAGGUUCAGAUAGCCUGACCUUAAAUUCCAGUGCAGCCUGUAAAACAGCUCAGCCUUUUAUUAAGCCGUUUCCUUUCCACGCUGCAGCUGGCUGGAUCCUCGAGCUGAAGAACAACAGCUCUGCUCAGGCACCAGCUUUUAUCAUUUUAUUUUUUUUUUGGCAGAACAAAAAGCGGGUUCAGCAGGAGUUCAGGCAGCUGAAGCUGCAGCCUUGAACCUUGGUGGCUUUGACCACAGCAUCUGAGCGAGGUGAGCGCUGGACCCAACGCUUCCUGAGCCCCUCAACUUCUCCAACAAAUCCCUCAGGGCCACUUUGCCUCUGCAAACACCUUCAGCUUUGCCUCUGCAAACAACUUCCCAGCUGUCAGCCUGGCUGGCACGGCCGGCUGCACACUCGAUUGACGUGGCCGCUGAUCAGCCGAUGGUUUUUUGCUGUUUUACAGGCGCGAGGAGCUGUGCUGGCAUCGUGGUUAAUGAGUAUCUGCAAGGUGCCCAGUGUUUCGUGGUGAUCACAGCUCCCAGCUCAGCCUGGUGACAGAACUGUGCACAGGGAUUAAAAAAAAAAAAAGGCCUUGGACAUCUUCAGCAAGCGAGCACAGCGAUGCCGAGUGCUUGUGUUUACAGCAAAGGUCUUAAACAUCGAGCUCUCCAGUGCAGGAAUUGCCUCUGUUUUGGUUAUGUAGGUGCAGUAUAAAUAUGCUUCUAUAUUGCUCAGCUGGAAAAACAAAAACCUUCUGCCAUGAUGAAAAAUGAGCACUUGAUGAGGAUUUUGGUUAUCUUACUGCAUUGUAGCAGACAAUUAAUGGCUGAAGAGGCUCUCCCAGCUUGCAACCAAUUCCUUGACCCUGAGCUUUCAAAACCCA